UUUUUUUUACAGAUGAAAUCCCAUCUCUUCUUUUUCAAAGCGUAUUUUUUUUUUAAAAGAAAAGUAUUCUAUUUUUCUAUACUUUCUCUUUGUUCUGAAGGCUUUGGGGUUUUUUUCUAUUUAUUCUGGAUUCUGGCUUUCACAUGGAGGCUCACCUCAAAUAUAUCUGUGGAUAGUUGGUUAUACCUUCAUUUUUAAGGAUACACCAAAAACCUGGUUGGUCGAAUAGGCACAGGUACGAGGCUUAUCGCGCAGCAGGCUUCAUGAUGGUGUGAUAGCACAGGGGCCAAGCUCCAGCCUUGGAGGUCCCUAAAUAACAUUAUGUGCACAAUUUUCUAUUGUGUAGAUAUUUUCUACAAGUACAUUUUUAAAUGUUCUGCCAGGAGGCUGGGAGUGGGACAUAAGUGUAAAGCCAGAGCUGGACAUUUUGGAAGGCGAGUCGGGAGGAAAGAUGGUGAGUGUGGAUAUCACGGCUCCAAACAUCAACCUUCAGUUAAUUCCAUUUAUUCCGUUAUUUUCAGUGGGACCCUCAAACUUUACUGUGCCUGGUGUUCCUCCGUACAGAGUCCCACUGAUUUAACCUCUUCAGAGGGUUAGUUACCAUCUCAGCCAGAAGCAUCUAGGGAUAGUUCCACAAAUAUUUCACUGGGGCUCUCUCUCUUGCUUAUCAGUCUUCAGUGAGUUCUCCUGCUCUUUGGGGAAAAUUCAGCUCUCUAAGCAAAACCUCCUGACCUGGCUUCUGAUCGUCUUUUCACCCUUUAUCUCAACGUAUUUUUUCCCUCCUCAUUUCACUGCUGUCACUCCAUCCACCUCCCCUGUAGGAUCCUGGUACCCUGGGCUUGUUCCUGUUGCCUGCUUGGGUCGUGCUCUUCCAGACCUACGACCUUCUCACUUGCUCUACUCUCUGCCAGGAACCAGUAUUUUCACUCCUGUUUGACGUGACUAACUCCCAUCCAUCUGUUAGAUGUCAGCCCACAUGUCACUGCAUAGACUUUAUCACACUAUAUUUUAAUUGCUUAUAUAUUAGAUUUUCCACUGGAGAAAAAGUUCUUUGAGUGCAGGGACCCAGAGCUGAUCCCAGCACCUGGUCCACAGAAGUGCUUUAAUAAAUAUUAAUUAGAUGAAAUGAUUAAGGAAAAGAUGGAAGGAGGAUGAAAGGGAGGAAGCCCUCAGAAUCCUUCUCUUCUGCCCUCCCCAGUCCUUAUUUACAGUAAAUCUGGUAUCUUCCCUUGCAUGUUAAACUAAUGUACCUAUAAAACUAUCGAACUGGCGUAAGAUAUAAUAGUGUGGAUGGUCACAUCUCUUUCAUUUCAAAGCGAGCUGGAUGUCUACUCAGCCCGGCUCCCUAUCUCAGAAAUACACCACGGGACACCAGAAAUACUGGAGAAGAGGAUCCAGCCCUCCUACUGCUUUGAGGGCCGGGGGGUAGCCUGUGGCUUUUGACAAUGGGUGACUGGCAUUAUAAAUAAAAGAUGACGUAUUUAUAAUGAAUCAAUUUGGAGGACAGAAGGAAAAAGAAUUUUCUGUAUUAUUCUUACAUGCACGUUUGGAUUUUCCUGUUAAACCUGGUUGUCAAUGAGCCUUUGGAGCAUAAACCACUCCUUCACCUUCCCUCCAACCCCCAUGAGUUCUGAGGACUCAGCAGGGCAAACCCUCAUGGGCUCCCUCUGCGUCUACCGCCUCCCCAUCCCCACAGCAGUCUGAGGGCUCUUCCUCCUGAACCAGCCUCUGGAAUUUUAAUUCAGCCCUGCCCUGAAAGGCCCAUGCACCAGCUCGUCCCCCUGCUCACCAUUAAAAUAUAUCCUUCCAUAUGAUAUCACUUAUAUCUGGAAUCUAAUAUAUGGCACAAAGGAAACUUUCCACUGAAAAGAAACUCAUGGACUUGGAGAAUAGACUUGUGGUUGCCAAGGGGGAAGGGGAGGGACUGGGAGGGACUGGGAGCCUGGGGUUAAUAGAUGCAGAAUGUUGCCUUUGGGAUGGAUUAGCAAUGGGAUCCUGCUGUGUAGCACUGGGAACUCUGUCUAGUCAAUUAUAAUGGAACAGGUAAUGUGAGAAAAAAGAAUGUAUACAUGUAUGUGUAACUGGGUCACCAUGCUGUGCAGUAGAAAAAAUAUAUAUAUCAAGAAAUAAAAAUAGGAGUUCCCGUCGUGGCUCAGUGGUUAACGAAUCCGACCAAGAACCAUGAGGUUGCAGGUUCGGCCCCUGCCCUUGCUCAGUGGGUUAAGGAUCUGGUGUUGCCGUGAGCUGUGGUGUAGGUUGCAGACGUGGCUUGGAUCCUGCGUUGCUGUGGCUCUGUGUAGGCUGGCAGCUAGAGCUCCAAUUCGACCCCUAGCAUGGGAACCUCCAUAUGCCGCGGAAGCGGCCCAAGAAAUGGCAAAAAGACGACAAAAAAAAAGAAAGAAAGAAAGAAAGAAAGAAAAAUAAAGCACUUUUUAAAUAUUUUUAUAUUUUUUCCAAAUAUAAAAAAGAAAAAUAAAUUAAUUUUUUUUUAAAUUUAACUAAAAAAAAAAAAGUAAAACAUACCCUUCUUUGCAGCAACAGUGAUGGACCAUGAGACCAUCAUACAAGGCAAGUCAGAGAAAAAGAGACAGAUAUCAUAUGAUGUCCCUUAUAUGUAGAAUCUUUUAAAAAUGAUACAAAUGAACUUAUUUACAAAUAGAAAGCAUCUCACAGUCUUGGAAAACAAACCAAUGGUUACCAAAGGAAAAGGGUGGGGGUGGGAGGGACGUUAUUGGCAACUUGGGAUGGGAUAUGCAGGUGACGGUAUGUGGAGCGGCUGGUUGGUCGGUGGGGACCAGGGAGCACUGAGUAGCAAUAUUCCGUGAUAACCUAAAUGGGAAUGGAUUGUGUACGUGUAUACCUGAAUCUGUACAGCAGAAAUUCACACAACAUUAUGACUCGACUAGACUUCACUACAAUUUAAAAAAAAUAAAAUAUACCUUUAAAGCCUCAUUGGUUACAUGUAGUAGCUCCCAGAUAGGUGACGUAAUGAUCUUUUAGGUGAAGUUUCCAGCCUAAUUAGAUGGUAGCAGAGCCUUCUUAGAGUAUCUGGGAACAGGGAGUCUGGCCCUGUUUAGACACUGGCAGCUGUACUGAGAAGAACCCAGCUGCAAACUAGAUGACCUAAUAAGGUCUUUUUCAUCUGCAGAAUCUCUGAUUAUAGGCGUGUCAUUUCUAUUUCCAUUCCAGAAUAAGCUUUGUGACUUUCUAAAGACUGAAAAAAAAAAUCUCAUUUAGUUCUUUAUGAG
This 3248-nucleotide long non-coding RNA is filed under the name Sus scrofa (pig). RNAcentral's name for it is "lncRNA (ENSSSCG00055008159.1)". Lineage: Eukaryota; Metazoa; Chordata; Mammalia; Artiodactyla; Suidae. The record is from RNAcentral.